This 495-nucleotide ribosomal RNA is filed under the name uncultured bacterium. RNAcentral's name for it is "partial 16S ribosomal RNA". It matches the Rfam family "Bacterial small subunit ribosomal RNA", at positions 28 to 507 of the family's 1533-position model. The record is from RNAcentral.
GACGAACGCUGGCGGCGUGCCUAAUACAUGCAAGUAGAACGCUGAAGGAGGAGCUUGCUUCUCUGGAUGAGUUGCGAACGGGUGAGUAACGCGUAGGUAACCUGCCUGGUAGCGGGGGAUAACUAUUGGAAACGAUAGCUAAUACCGCAUAAUAUUGACUAUUGCAUGAUAGUCAGUUGAAAGGUGCAACUGCACCACUACCAGAUGGACCUGCGUUGUAUUAGCUAGUUGGUGGGGUAACGGCUCACCAAGGCGACGAUACAUAGCCGACCUGAGAGGGUGAUCGGCCACACUGGGACUGAGACACGGCCCAGACUCCUACGGGAGGCAGCAGUAGGGAAUCUUCGGCAAUGGACGGAAGUCUGACCGAGCAACGCCGCGUGAGUGAAGAAGGUUUUCGGAUCGUAAAGCUCUGUUGUAAGAGAAGAACGAGUGUGAGAGUGGAAAGCUCACACUGUGACGGUAUCUUACCAGAAAGGGACGGCUAACCACGUG